RNAcentral lists this long non-coding RNA (6492 nucleotides) under Gallus gallus (chicken). Lineage: Eukaryota; Metazoa; Chordata; Aves; Galliformes; Phasianidae. The record is from RNAcentral.
GCUAAUUUUUCAUGCACAAAUUGCAGGUGCCAAGCAUAUUUGGCACAGUCCAGGAAUGCCUGGACAAAACUGUGAGUUCUCCUGGCAGCUGGGCUUGUGGAAUAUCCACAGAGGAGCAUGGAGCUUCGUUUUCAAAUCCUAGCUUUGCCUGAUAGGAGCUACAUCUCUCAGAUGGAUUCAUUAUAAUCAUGGGACUGUAGGCUUUGAUUCUGAGAAGAUGUUCUAACCCUGGCCUACUUGCUGGUAUCUCAAUUUCAUUUUUCAUGGUGAAAUCACAUUGGUUCUGGUAUUGUCAAGACCAUCUCUCUCUGCAUAUGGCUGCAGAAUAAGAAGGACAAGAAAAGUUUGACAUGAAUCUGCAUGGACAAUGAAGGAUCUCCUGAAAAACACUCAGGAAAAGAAAAUAUAGAAACAUGCAGAGACAGAAAGAGCAUCAUGUUACCCAGGAGAGGAAAACAGAGAGAGAAGUCUAAGCAUACAGAGAUAGAGUUAGAAAAAUCAAAGACUGUCUGGACUUGAAUUGAGCUACCUACAUCAUCUACCUGGAUUUGUGUUUUCAACUGGAUGCUGUCCUGCAUCCUUGUCUCAAAAAUGAGGAGAGACAUGGCUUUGAUGGAUGGACCACUCAUUGAAUAAGAAAUUGUCUUGAUGGUCACACUGAAAGAGUUGAAGUCAGUGGUUUAAUGUCCAGAUAGAGACUAGAAAUUGCUAGUAUCUCUUCGAAGUCUGCCCUGGGACUAGUAUAAUUUAACAUUUUUGUCAGUGACAUGGACAGUGGGAUUGCACCCCCAACAAGUUUGCUGAUGACACCAAGGUCAGUGGUGUGGUCAAGACACUGGAAUGAAGGGAUGCCACCCAGAUGGAUUUUGACAGGCUUGAGAGGUGGAACAAGUGGGACAAAGUUGGAUGAGGACUUGUAGGUACUGGUGGUUUAAAAACUUGACAUGAAUCAACAAUGUGCACUUGGAGUCCUAUUAGGCAUCAAAAGAAGUGUAGCAAGUAGGUUGUGGGAGUUGAUUGUCCUCCUCUACUCCACUCCCAUAAGACCCCACUGGGAGUACUGAAUUUAUCUCUGUGGCCAAUAGAGUAAGAAAGACAUGGAUACACUAAAGCUUGUCCAGAAGAUGGCCAUGCAGAUGAUAAGAGGGCUGGAGCACCUAUCCUACAAUGUCAUCCUGAGAACAUUGGAAUUAUUUAGCCUAGAGAAGAGAAAGCUAUGGGAAGACCUUUUAGUAGCCUUCCAGUACUGAGAGGGGACUUAUAAAAAAGGUAAAGAGUGAAUCUUUACAUGUACAGACAGUGAUAGAACAAGGUAGAAUGGUUUUACACUAAAAGAGGAGAGAUUUAGAUCAGGUGAUAGAAGGAAAUUCUUGACCCAGAAGGUUGUGAGGCAGUGGAAUAAGAAGCUCAGAGAUAUGAAUGCCCUAUCCCUGGAAUUGCUCAAGGCUAGGUUAGAUGGACCUUUGGGCAACCUGGUGUAGUGGAAGUUGUCCCUGUCGAUGGGAUCCAUCCAUAGAAUCCAAGCCAAGCCAUUCUAUGAAUCUAUGAUUCACUGUAUGAAUUUGGAGAGAUCAUACAAUACAACAUGAAAGGUUUCUGCAGAUCCAUCAGCAAUAAAAGAAAAACUGAGGGUAAUAUGGUCUUGCUGCUGGAUAGGCAGCGACUUGAUGUCAAAGCAGGGGUGUGGAAAGGUCUGACGCUCUUCCUGAUUUCUUCAUCUUAUCUUGUCUUCAGAAAUCUCAUGUCCUUGAAACCCAUGGGAAAGCCUGGAGCAAAGCAAAUUAACAUGCCAGUAGAGGAAGAUGCAGUUAAGGAAAAUAUGAACCAGUUGUAACUUGUAAACAUGUCGAUGGGACUUGAUUGGAUGCAACCACAAGUGUUGAGUUUUUAGUGCUUUCAGCACUCUGGCCUGUAGCAUCCUUGUUGACAAACUGGUGGAAUAGAGUCUAGAGAAGCUGAUGAUGAGGUAUGAUGAGACAGAUUGAUGAAGCCAGUCCAUCUCUAGAGGUGAACUCAAAAGAACUGGGGCCAGUACUGUUUAAGAUCUUCAUAGAUAUGAUGGAACAUAGUGAAAAUUUUCAGACACAAAGUUGGAAAGAGAAAGCAGUAUACCAAAUGUUUGUGUUACCCUUUAGAAGGACCUCAACAAGCUGGAGAACUGAGCUGUCAGGAUUAUCCUGAAGUUUAAGAAAUGGAAAUGUUAAUUCUUGUCCAGGGAGGAGGAAGCCUCAGGCACUCACACAAAGAAGCUGAGGUCUGAAUAUCUGGAAAGCAGCCUUGCAGAAAAGGUCGUGGGGACCUGGUGGGCACCUAAAGGAACAUGAGACAACAAUGUGUUCUAGAGCAUAUGAGGCCAUCAGCGCCUGGGCUGCACUAUGAAAAAUGUCACAAGCAGAUCAAAGGAGGAAAGAGCUCACCUAUUUCAAGGAUCCUAGUUAAGCCAAAGGCUUUUCUAGGUUUUGUAUUGGUCAAAUGGCUGUAUGAAACCAUGUCUGUGACUGAAAAUGUUUUGUCUCUAAAUUAGCUUUUCAUUUCAGUUUAAUCACUGGGAUAAAAACUUCAUACAAAAGAUUUAAAUAUUUUAAUUCAAUUUUUAAAGCUACUUUAAUUAAAACAAUUAAACCUAAAUAUCUGUAUUAUAGCUUUGUGUCAAAAAAAAAAAAAUACUACUAGUUCUAUUAAAACUGCUUUUAAGACAGAUUUAGUUAAACAGGGCAAGCAACUUGUACUUGCUCUUAGACAAUUUUAAACUUGAUUAGCUUUGAUUUGAUGAGAAACACUGUAUCUUCAUGAAGGAAGAAUUUAAUGUUAAUCACCUUCAUCUGUCUAAGAGUUCUGAAUGAAGUUCCCACCAUAAUCAGCUGAAAGGGACAGUCAUGUCAGAAAUGAAUCAUUCCACCUGUUCUGGACAUCUGUAUUAGAAUGGAAAAAAUCACCUUUCACUCAUAACUUUCUCUUCGUGUCUUGAAAAUAUAGUAAAGAGAAACAGUUAAGACUAUGCACUGCUUUUACAUUACUAAAAACAGGUGAAGUUUUUUCCAAGCUGAGCAUUUGCACUAGUUCAAUUUAUUUAUAUUUUUGUUAAUUAAAAUGAAUUAAUGUUCAGCAACAUCUGAGAAAGCAACAUUUGCAUAAUAUUUAUGCAGUUAUUGAUCCAUCAGUAUUAUUUAUUAUGAUUUGGUUACCACACAAAGAAUAAUUAUAUUAAGAGAAAAUAAAUUCUUAUUUUGUUCUUUAAUUUAUCCCUAGAAAAGAGUUUCUCAAGUAAUGCCUGUUUAAAAGUUGUUUCUGCUCUCUUAUUUAAGGAAGGAAAGAGGUGGACAUAACAGUGAGCUCCAUUUUUCUUUCUACAAACAAUAUUAUAAAAUGAGCUCUAGUGGAAAUAAUGCGUACUCAGUGCAGAGAAAUGUUCAUGCUCACCUUCUCUUCUUCAUUGUGCACAAAUAGCUGGAAGGAAGGAAAAAAAUGUUGCUGUGAAUAAAUCCAUUACCCAUGAAGUAUUUUGGGAUGAGAGAAAAGCGUUUUUAAGAAGAAAUGAAGUAAUUGAUUGCAUAUCUAAAGAAACCAGUGAAGGACUAAGCCACAUUACAGUCAAAAACAUAACAUUGCAAGACUGAAAAAUUGCUUUCCUUUUGUUUGUUGAAAUGACAUUGCCUUAUAUAUAUACUUUCAAAAUAUCUCCAGCAGUUUCUUUAACUGCUUUAUCCUUUGUGUGUUGUCUAGCUACAGGAAAUUGGAAAUUGGGCUAUACUGUCCCUUUUACAUUAAUGGUCACAAAUAAGUUUUGUGGCAGUAGUUUUCAUGUCAUCUAAAUGAAGAACAGUAUGGAGAACCAGUUUUUUAUUAUUAUUAUUACUAUUAUUAAUAAUAAUAAUUAAUUUAAUUGAUUUCUUUCUAAUUUCAUGGAAUAUCUUCAUUUUAUUUUGAGAAAAAAAAAAAAUCAUAGAAUCAUAGAAUCCUAGAAUGGCCUGGUUUGAAAAGGAUCUCAAAGAUCACCUAGUUUCAACACACCUGCCGUGGGCAGGGUUGUCAGCCACUAGACCAGGAUGUCCAGAGCCACAUCCAGCCUGGCCUUGAAUGCCUCCAGGGAUGGGGCAUCCACAACCUCCUUGGGCAACCUGUUCCAGUGCUUCACCACUGUCUGAGUGAAAAAAUUCCUCCUAAUAUCUAAGCUAACCCUCCCCUGACUUUGUUUAAAACCAUUCCCCCUUGUCUUAUCACUAUGCAUUUAUGUAAACAGUCAUUCCCAUUCCUGUUUAUAUGCUCCCUUUAAGUACUGGAAGGCCACAAUGAGGUCUCCCUGGAGCGUUAUCUCCUUCAAGCUAAACAAGUCCAGUUUCCUCAGCCUUUCUUCAUAGGAGAGGUGCUCCAGCCCUCUGAUCUUCUCAGUGCAGUGGUCCUCCUCUGGACCUGUUCCAAGAGAUCUGUGCUGGGGGCCCCAGGCCUGGACGCAGUACUCCAGAUGGGGCCUCACAAGAGCUGAGUAGAUGCAGACAAUCACCUCCCUCUCCCUGCCGGCCACCCUUUUUUUAAUGCAGCCCAGAACACAGUUGCCCUUCCAGACUGUAAGCGCACACUGCUGGCUCAUGUCCAGCUUCUUGUCCACUAGGACCCCCAAGUCCUUCACCACAUGGCUGCUCUCAAGUUCUUCCUUCAUUCUGUAUAAAUACCUGGGAUUGCCCUGGCCCAAGCUUGCACUUGGCCUUGUUGAACCUCAUGAGUUUCACAUGGACCCACUUCUCCACCCUGUCCAGGUUCCUCUGGAUCGUUUUCCUUCCCUCCAAUGUAUUGACUACAUCUCUCAGAAAAUAUACAGCCUACCCUCUCACAGUCUUCUUUGAUGAACUUUAUACUCUGUAUUAUCCUCCUUUUCUAACAGACAUUAACUCUUCCUCAUAUUUUUCACUUGUGUCAUAUUUUUCCAGUGCCAUUUCUGUGAUCAAAUAUCUAAAUUGCUUAGUAGCCAUGUGCAUGGCGGUGACUGCACCAGCUGCUGGGGAUUUCCUUGUCUUUUUCCAUUGCAUGUUUCAAUCCAUAGAAGAAUAUGCCUGCAUGAUAAAAUUAUGUGUUUUACAAAAGGAAAAGGGCACACAUUACUAUAAGUCUGAAAACACUCCUUUGCAGAUUUUUUGAUGAUUUAGGUUAAUGUUACGCAAAGAAUGCCCAGCCCAGUUCUUCCCUAGAGAAUGCAAACCAGUUUUUGCAUCUGUUUUAUUAAGAUGUAAGUUAGGAGAGCUCAGUGCUCCUGACAUUACCUACAUUGAAACGUCAGUACAUUUAUAUUAAAAGAUACUUUCAUAUCAGGUGAUGGUAAAUUCUCUGGAAAUAAGUGGGGCAAUGCUGGUGGAGAAGAUCAACUUCUGAAUUAGGCUCCCUAUUCAUAUUGUCUUCUGGAGACAUCUUUACAGAAUAUGGAGAUUGCUGUUGUCUCAUCCUUUCUCUGUCCCCAGCUCUUUGUGGAGCUUAUGCUCCUGAGAUAUAUUUUUAAAUCUCAUGUAACAUUCUAGACUUUAAUAAUGGCAAUGAAUUGUAUAGAUAUCAAUAAGAUGUACUCAGUAUUAGGGAAAACUGCAUAGUUAUGUUUAGAUGCUGAAAAAUUAAUGGAGGUACUGAGACUUUUCUUGCAAAAAAUAUUUAUCAAUCAAGUUACUUUGCAUUGAGUAACUGGCAAUCAUAUUGGAUAUUUCUAAGAAAGUUCUGGUAUAAAAUAUACAAAAAAAGACAUUUUUAAAAAGUUAAAAGAAAUUAUGUCAAUAUUCUGCUUAUAACAUCACAAAAUAAACAAUCAAACAAAUGAAUUGUGAUUGUAUAGACAAAAUGAAUGCCUUAUGUACUACUAAGCCACAAAUAUAUUGCAGUUCAUCACUUCAAGGUUUAUGAGCUAUUCACAUUGAGAUAGAUCACCUAAUCUUUCUCUGAUCAAUCUACAUAUACAUCUGUAACAAGAUGCAUUGUGUGAACCUCUACAGAGUUGUAGCACUGCUGGUAUUAUAUAUUAUUUGUUCUGCAUAUUGCAUUUUACCUCACAAUCACUACUGGAAAUUUCUGAUGUCAGAACGAUGCCGGGUCUCCAUCUUACAAUGAUAAUUACUUUAGCUGCAGAGCUUGUAUUUAUGGUUAAAACUCCAAUGCAGUAUUUUUUUCCUGUUUUCUUGCAUGUUUAUCUAAUUGCUACGCAGUUAUGAAAUGGGUAAGUUAUGAAUGUACUGAUUUAAUUAGAAGCUUUGAUUAUAUUUAUUUAUUACCCACAAAAAGUAAAUGGAGUAACUUUCAUACAAGGUUUACACUGGCUCUGAAGACUUUAAAUACAAUUACUGGCAAGCUACUGUAGUAGACACAUGGUGUGUGUGGGGGUGUCAGCUUUUAAUUGUAACUGUCUUGCAGAGUGGUGUUGUUUUAAUAUCCUGUAUAGAUUUUUAUGUAAUACACUUACUUGCAGGCAGCCUGAAGCAAGAAUCAAUUCUGUGAAGGAUUCUUCUUUUGUUAAAAGCC